Molecule: ribosomal RNA, 469 nt
Filed under: uncultured bacterium
Lineage: Bacteria
Description: bacterial SSU rRNA
Rfam family: Bacterial small subunit ribosomal RNA
Source: RNAcentral
UGGCUCAGGACGAACGCUGGCGGCGUGCUUAACACAUGCAAGUCGAGCGGUAAGGCCCUUCGGGGUACACGAGCGGCGAACGGGUGAGUAACACGUGAGCAAUCUGCCCUUCACUUCGGGAUAACCCCCGGAAACGGGAGCUAAUACCGGAUACGACCACUUCAGGCAUCUGAUGGUGGUGGAAAGUUCUGGCGGUGGAGGAUGAGCUCGCGGCCUAUCAGCUUGUUGGUGGGGUAGUGGCCCACCAAGGCUUCGACGGGUAGCCGGCCUGAGAGGGUGACCGGCCACACUGGGACUGAGACACGGCCCAGACUCCUACGGGAGGCAGCAGUGGGGAAUAUUGGACAAUGGGCGAAAGCCUGAUCCAGCAACGCCGCGUGAGGGAUGACGGCUUCGGGUUGUAAACUUCAGCGCAGACGAAGUCGAAAGUGACGGGUAUGCGCAGAAGAAGCACCGGCCAACUACAGUC